This 301-nucleotide ribosomal RNA is filed under the name uncultured bacterium. RNAcentral's name for it is "partial 16S ribosomal RNA". It matches the Rfam family "Bacterial small subunit ribosomal RNA", at positions 509 to 809 of the family's 1533-position model. The record is from RNAcentral.
CAGUAGCCGCGGUAAUACAGAGGGUGCAAGCGUUAAUCGGAAUUACUGGGCGUAAAGCGCGCGUAGGUGGUUUGUUAAGUUGGAUGUGAAAUCCCCGGGCUCAACCUGGGAACUGCAUCCAAAACUGGCAAGCUAGAGUAUGGUAGAGGGUGGUGGAAUUUCCUGUGUAGCGGUGAAAUGCGUAGAUAUAGGAAGGAACACCAGUGGCGAAGGCGACCACCUGGACUGAUACUGACACUGAGGUGCGAAAGCGUGGGGAGCAAACAGGAUUAGAUACCCGAGUAGUCCCUGUCUCUUAUAA